UUAUUGAAGGGUGGACCUGAAUCUUUCUGAGGUGAUUAAUGGCCUAUUUCAAAAAAUACACUGAUAAUUUGUUGGUUUCCUUUUCCUAAGUACCACCCAGAACAUAAGGCUGCUCUGCAGAAUGGGUGAACCAUUCUGUCUUUGAAAUAUCCUGGGAACACUACCAUGGAGAAGGAAGACUGAGAAGGAAGACUGAGUUCCCCAUC
Non-coding RNA from Pogona vitticeps (central bearded dragon), 206 nucleotides. The record is from RefSeq and is a predicted model, not a curated record. NCBI's taxonomy places the organism in Eukaryota, Metazoa, Chordata, Lepidosauria, Squamata, Agamidae.